RNAcentral lists this ribosomal RNA (492 nucleotides) under uncultured bacterium. Its description in RNAcentral is "partial 16S ribosomal RNA". It matches the Rfam family "Bacterial small subunit ribosomal RNA", at positions 29 to 507 of the family's 1533-position model. The record is from RNAcentral.
AGUGAACGCUGGCGGUAGGCCUAACACAUGCAAGUCGAACGGCAGCACAGUAAGAGCUUGCUCUUACGGGUGGCGAGUGGCGGACGGGUGAGGAAUACAUCGGAAUCUACUUUUUCGUGGGGGAUAACGUAGGGAAACUUACGCUAAUACCGCAUACGACCUACGGGUGAAAGCAGGGGAUCUUCGGACCUUGCGCGAUUGAAUGAGCCGAUGUCGGAUUAGCUAGUUGGCGGGGUAAAGGCCCACCAAGGCGACGAUCCGUAGCUGGUCUGAGAGGAUGAUCAGCCACACUGUCACUGAGACACGGUCCAGACUCCUACGGUAGGCCGCAGUGGGGAAUAUUGGACAAUGGGCGCGAGCCUGAUCCAGCCAUACCGCGUGGGUGAAGAAGGCCUUCGGGUUGUAGAGCCCUUUUGUUGGGAAAGAAAAGCAGCAGGUUAAUCCCCCGCUGUUCUGACGGUACCCAAAGAAUAAGCACCGGCUAACUUCGUG